AGGAGGCGGGACUCCAACUCAGCCAAGAGAGAACACAAGCUGCCCAACCCACAGUCCUCAGCAGAAAGCACUGGCCUGAGGCCAAGGAAUGGGACAAGCAGAACAUCCGUGGUCAGCCGUCCAGGAAGCAUCCCAGACCAGCCACCCCACAGUAGACAUGGUGGAGACCCAGAAGGUCCAGCAAAUGCCAUGUGGACUGGAGCCUGCCCCCUCCACCUGUGAGAUGACGGAAGAGGCUCAUGUGGACCAUGACACCAGAUGAGGCAGACAUGACCGUUUCCAUUUUGACACGUGCAGAAACCAAGGUCUGGUGAUGAAAUAUCUCCUUCAUGGUCAAGAGGCACUGGGUGCAAAGCUACAGCAGGAGCUGGACUUCCCCAUCCCAGCUCCACACCCCUCCUGCAGGGCUGUGGGCUUCUCCCGAGACUGGGGAGGAGUUGCCCACGUCCACGGGCCAGUGGAACGACGGUGAAAAGCGCUUAUGCUUGGAAGCGCGCCUUCAGUUUCCCAUUUGCGCCCUCAUCAUAUCUUCUAGUCUUCAUUCAGGGAAACCUUCGACUGAAGAUGUCCCUUUGGCAUCUUUGCACCUGGUGGUGGGGGUGUGGGGAGGGGGUGGCAUGAGUCUUCAUUCCCUUCGUGAUGCCAGAUGUUCGCCAUGGCACUGAGCUAUUGAACAGGGGGUUUUCUUUUUUCCCUCUUUUCUCCCAAGGAUCGCCUAAAAUUGAAACCUCUGUAUUGGCUGCAGUUUUCCUCCAUCUGCAAAAACACAUUAGAAAGAGAAAGAGGUUGGCAACUGACUUCAGGCUUUUCCCCCAGAGUGUUACUUACCUGACUUUAACCAGAUGCUGUGUAUCAGCCCUUCUCCCUCCUCCGUGCUCAGGCGGCAAAAGACAGAAGAAAUACAAGGAAUGCUUGUUAUGCUGUGGACUCUCUCCCCCCCCUCUUUCUCUUUCUUUCCUUUUUUUUCUUUUUUUUUUUUUUUAUCCCAGGACCGGAUAUACAAGUUCCAGAAGAGGAAUAUACAUCCCCAGAGUCUGAAAUCAAAUCUGGAAUUCAUAUCCUCUGUAAAUGUACUUUAUUAAAAGCAGGAAUCAAAAAAGA
Molecule: non-coding RNA, 1101 nt
Organism: Sus scrofa (pig)
Lineage: Eukaryota; Metazoa; Chordata; Mammalia; Artiodactyla; Suidae
Source: RefSeq, a predicted model, not a curated record